AGGACGAACGCUGGCGGCGUGCUUAACACAUGCAAGUCGAGCGGAAAGGCCCUUCGGGGUACUCGAGCGGCGAACGGGUGAGUAACACGUGAGCAACCUGCCCCUGGCUCUGGGAUAGCCUCCGGAAACGGGGAUUAAUACCGGACAUGACCUGCUGCCGCAUGGUGGCGGGUGGAAAGUUUUUCGGCCAGGGUGGGGCUCGCGGCCUAUCAGCUUGUUGGGGGGGUGACGGCCCACCAAGGCGACGACGGGUAGCCGGCCUGAGAGGGCGACCGGCCACACUGGGACUGAGACACGGGCCCAGACUCCUACGGGAGGCAGCAGUGGGGAAUAUUGCGCAAUGGGCGGAAGCCUGACGCAGCGACGCCGCGUGCGGGAUGAAGGCCUUCGGGUUGUAAACCGCUUUCACCAGGGGCGAAGCGAGAGUGACGGUACCUGGGGAAGAAGCGCCGGCUAACUACGCGCCAGCAGCCGC
Molecule: ribosomal RNA, 475 nt
Filed under: uncultured bacterium
Lineage: Bacteria
Description: SSU rRNA
Rfam family: Bacterial small subunit ribosomal RNA
Source: RNAcentral